UACGUAGGGGGCGAGCGUUGUCCGGAAUUAUUGGGCGUAAAGAGCGUGUAGGCGGUUCGGUAAGUCUGCCGUGAAAACCUGGGGCUCAACCCUGGGCGUGCGGUGGAUACUGCCGGGCUAGAGGGUGGUAGAGGCGAGUGGAAUUCCCGGUGUAGCGGUGAAAUGCGCAGAUAUCAGGAAGAACACCAACGGCGAAGGCAGCUCGCUGGGACGGAACUGACGCUAAGGCGCGAAAGCGUGGGGAGCGAACAGG
This 253-nucleotide ribosomal RNA is filed under the name uncultured bacterium. RNAcentral describes it as "partial 16S ribosomal RNA". It matches the Rfam family "Bacterial small subunit ribosomal RNA", at positions 524 to 776 of the family's 1533-position model. The record is from RNAcentral.